This 302-nucleotide ribosomal RNA is filed under the name Ice core clone 47-18. Its description in RNAcentral is "SSU rRNA". It matches the Rfam family "Eukaryotic small subunit ribosomal RNA", at positions 601 to 908 of the family's 1831-position model. The record is from RNAcentral.
AUAUUAAAGUUGUUGCAGUUAAAAAGCUCGUAGUUGAACUUCAGCCCUGGCCGGGCGGUCUGCCUCACGGUAUGUACUGUUUGGUUGGGGCUUACCUUCUGGUGAGCUUGCAUGCCGUUUAUUCGGUGUGUGAGGGAACCAGGACUUUUACUUUGAGAAAAUUAGAGUGUUCAAAGCAGGCAAAUGCCCGAAUACAUUAGCAUGGAAUAAUGGAAUAGGACGUGCGGUUCUAUUUUGUUGGUUUCUAGAGUCGCCGUAAUGAUUAAUAGGGACAGUUGGGGGCAUUAGUAUUGAGUUGCUUU